UCCGACUAACAGUAACAAAAGAGUCCAACAAUGGUAACAAAAGAGUUUGACAACAGUCGAUUCUCGACAGAUCUACGAGGAUCUGCUCACCAUCCCCACUGGAUUUUCCACCACUAAAUAACCUCACAAUUCCCACAAACUUGAGAGAGAAAAUCUCCUCAACAGAUCCUCAAUUUAGCUUUGAGCAGCUAUGGGCACAACUAAUGACAAAGGCCCAAAGAAGGCAGUGAAGUUACAACAUCGACCAUAUGAUAUAAUUGAAGAGUUCCAUCAAGCUCUUGGGUAGUGGUGAAGUUGUCUUCCGGUCGUCGUCUUAAGUCUCGCUGCUCGAAAAGAGGGACAUAGUGAUGCUAAAUUCAAAAUUUUGCACCUGGAAUUGAAGAUCACAAAUCAAGACAGCAAUAGGAACAAGGAGGUGGCUCAGAGUACAGAAAAUGGAAAUCAGAGAGACGUGGUAGAGGCUCCAACCAGAAUGCAGGUGGAAGCUCCCAAAAAUAGCUUGAAAGGAGUUAAACAAACUAGUCAACAAGGGGACAAUGAAGCAAACAAAGAGGGUGAAGGAUGGAAAAUAGUGACAAAAGGAAAAGGAAAAAAAUAAAUACAAGGACUCCACAAAUCCAUUUCGAAAACUUAGAGUAGAAUCAACGUAUGAGAAAGCUGCAUUUUUAAAAGAUGACAAGGAAAAGAAUAGCCCAGGUGAGAGUGAAAAAACUAGUGUUUUUGGGAUCACCUUCGCUACACAAGAUAAACACAAAGAGGAAACACAAAAUGGUAAGAAAGGUAAAAGAAAGGUAACAUACACUUAGAAGCUAAAUCAGGAGGAUCAUAAUCAAACAUCAAAUAAAGCUAAGAGAGUCCAGAAGAAAUGUAUGGAAGGAAUGAGCCCUCCUUAUGAAAGGAGAACAAGAAGCAAAAGAGGAUAUGUUGAAGAAACCAAAAACAAUGACAAGAAUCAGGGAAACAAAAAUGGUACCAUCUAUACAACACAAAAAUCAGAGGAGAAAUCAGAAAACACAAAUGAGAUAAAUCAUAAUGUUGAAAAACAUGACAACAUGGAUUCUGGAAAAGCAAUGUCCAGUUGAUAGAGGAAAAGAUACCAACCAGGAAUAAAAGAGUGUAAGGAUCAAUCAACCACCUGAUGACCUUGGGGAAGGCAAAGAUCAAAAGCAUCAGAAUGAGCAUACAAACAUAUUGAUUGAUAAAAAUGAGGAAGAUGUAUACAAGCAUUAUGAAUCAGCAUCAAGGAGGAGAUGGAAGAAGAUCAAUUUCAUGAUGUCCCUGAGCCCCACCUAGACAAGGGCCCCAACAAGACACUGGAAAUCCAACAAAAGGGAGAAAGCAAUUUAAAUAUUGUGUUUAUGCAGGAUUAAAUUUUAACUACUUCUCCUAUUAUGCUAACUACUAAUGGAUUAUCCUCACCUAACGUGGAUAAGACUAAGGUGGUCAGUCAUAAGAAAGAACAAAUGGACGUGCAGAAUUCUAAUCCUCCUAAUUCCAAAUGAUAAAUACAAUUUCAUGGAAUAUUAGGAGUGUACCAACUCUAAGUUCUUUUGAAAAACUCAAAAAUUUAAAAAAACAAUACAGAAUCUCUUUUAUAAGCUUGCAAGAACCUUUUGUCCAAGCAGAUCAAGUAGGUUACUACCUGAGACUCUUAGAUGUGCAAGGAUCGUAUGCAAAUAUUAACAAUAAAAUUUGGCUAUUUUGGACAAAUGAUUUUACUGUUAAGAUCAUCAAAGACUCUGAACAACAUAUUACUUGUCACAUUAAUCACUUGAUUACAAGAGCUACCUAUCAUACCUCAUUUGUUUAUGCUAAGUACAGGACAAUACUAAGGAAGAUUCUAUGGGAGGAGUUAGUCUUUGGCUAACUCAAUUCAAGGUCCUUGGAGCAUAAUGGGAGAUUUUUAAUGUUAUAGCUGAAGUAGAAGAAAAAACAGGAGGCAGUCCAUACAGACUUGAAAAAAGUUUUGACUUCCUAAACUUUAUGAUGGAAAGUGGGAUGCAAGAUGCAGGAUUUGCAGGAAAUAUCAAUACUUGGUGCAACAACGGAGAUAUACCAAAUACCAUCUGGAAAAGACUAGAUAAAGUUUUAUAUAAUUCUAAGUGGUUGGAUUAGUUUAAUAGCACUUAUGUUACUAAUUUAGCUAUAUCUUGUUCUGAUCACUCUCCUUUACUUGUGCAGUUCAGUAGUAAAGAAGAGGUCUUCAUCAAAUAUUUUAAAUUCUUAAAUAUUUGGGCAGAUCACCCUCAGUUCUAGGAGAUGGUUAAAAAUGUUUGGGUUGAAGAGUGCCAAGGAAACCCCAUGUGGGUGCUACAUCAAAUUUCAAAAAAACUGCUACUCACCUAAGCAGUUGGUCUAAAAAUACCUAUGGGGAUAUUUAUAGUGAGCCUAAGAGACUAGAAGGGGAAAUCACAAUGUUGGAACAAGCUCUCCAAGAUGAUAAUACUUCUAGUAACAGGGCCAUCCUUGACAAAACUAAGGCAGAAUCAAUACCUAAAAAUUCAAGAAGCAAUUCUAAGGCAAAGGGUGAGAGUGAAAUGGAUUGUGAUAGGGGACACCAACACAUCUUACUUCCAUAAAGUCAUUAAGUACAAGAGAAGAAAGCUUAGCAUCAACAAAAUCCUAGAUGAAAAUCAACAAUGGGUAGAAGACAAUGAUGAGGUGGCAGAGGCAGGAAUGAGAUACUUCAAAGAAACCUUCAGUCAGAAACCUGAGUUUAAUGAUUUUCAAAGAAACCUUCAGUCCGAGUUAAAUGCCAUCAACAUCAUAAUCAAUGAUGAUACUAAUUCUUCUCUGAUUGAAAUCCCCAGUGAAGAAGAGAUUAAAAGCAACCUAAUGACAAUGGAUCCUGAAAGUUCCCCUGGGCCUGGUGGAUUCACAGCUAAGUUCUUCCAAUCUUGUUGGGAAUUUAUUGCUUCUGAUAUUACUAGAGCUCUUCAUGCUUUUUUAUGUGGGGCUAGCUUACCUAAAUGGUUAACUCACUUGUAUAACUAUGAUCGCUAAAAUAAAUUCUCCUCAAAAGUUUUCUGAUAUAAGGCCUAUUAGUCUAUGUAAUGUAAUUAGCAAAACAAUUUCAAAAGUUCUAAAUUCCAGGUUAAGCAAUAUACUGCCUUCUCUAAUUAGUAGCAAUCAAAGUGGUUUUAUAAAAGGUAGAUCAAUCACUGAAAAUGUUCUUUUAGCUCAAGAAAUUAUUUAAGACAUUGAUAAACUUCAUGGUAAUGUUGUUCUGAAACUUGAUAUGACCAAGGCUUAUGAUAGGGUAUCCUGGCCCUACCUUUGCAUUCUUAUGAGAAGGUUGAGCUUUUGUGAAACUUGGAUUGAUAUGAUAUAUAGACAUAUUUCUAGUAAUUGGUACUCUCUUCUUGUGAAUGGAAACAAGCAUGCUUUUUUUAAAUCCGAAAGAGGCCUAAGACAAGAAGAUCCCAUUUCUCCUUUUCUUUUUGUCACAAGUGCUGAAUUUCUAUCUCAAAAACUCAACUCUUUAUAUAAUAACACUGAUUUCUUUGAUUUCAGUAUGAACAAAAGAGGUCCUCUUAUCAACCAUUUGGCCUUUGUUGAUGACAUCAUUUUUUUUUCAAGUGGUUGUAGGAGGUCUUUAACUUUGAUGAUGGAAGCUCUAAAUACAUAUGAGAGAGUAUUAGGGCAGAUGGUGAACAAGAAAUAAUCAAGUGUGUCCAUAUCUCCCAAAGAACAACAUCAAGCUAUUGCAAGAAUAGAGGAAAUCACUGGAAUGGACCAUAAGAGUUUUCCAGUCAAGUACUUAGGGUGUCCACUCUAUGUUGGAAGGAAGAUCACUUCAAUCUUUUCAGACAUAAUGAGCAAAAUUUUGAACAAACUUGGGGGUUGGCAAUCUAAAUUUCUUUCAGUAGGAGGGAUAGCAGUACUUAUUAAACAUGUCUUGCUAUCUAUGCCAGUACACCUACUGCCUGCAAUAUAACCUCCAAUGGGAGUUAUGAACCAGAUCGAGAAAAUGCUAAACAAAUUCUUCUGGGGAGGGACAGAUGAAGCUAAGAAACACCACUGAACAUCUUGGGAAAAGUUGUGCUAUCCAUGUGAAGAAGGAGGACCUGCCUUUAGGAGAUUACAAGACACAUGUGCUACAUUUACUGUGAAACAGUGGUGGAACCUGAGAACUAAUAAAUCUCUCUGGGGAAAUUUCAGUUUUGCUAAAUAUUGUCAAAAGAUUCAUCCUGUUAAAAAAAGAUGGUACUCAGGAAACUCACAUUCCUGGAAUGUUAUGUGUAAGGUUAAAGUGAAUAAGACAACUAUAUUCAGUGGAAGAUAGAAAGAGGAGACGUAUCCUUAUGGUAUGAUAAUUUGGCUGUAUUGGAGCUCUGUGGAACUUCCUGGAAGAAGGCAGAGUCCCACGGAAUGAAAAUCUAUGUAAAAUUUUCAUCAAUGGCCAAUGGCAAUGGGGUGAAUGUGAUCUAUAUCUUCCUAACCAUGCAAUGGAUCAUAUAAACUCCAUGCAGAUCAUCCUCAAUCCUGCCGUGAAAGACAAAGCUAUCUGGUCACCUGAACAAAAAGGCAACUUCACCAUCUCCUCGACUGGAACAUUAUGAGAGAGAAAAAAUAUAGUAGCUGGAUUAAUGUCAUGAAUUGGAAUAAUAAAGUCCCCUUCAAAAUGAACUUUAUCCUUUGGAGUGCCUUGAGGGAUAAAACUCCAACUGAUUCCAUACUUGGUAAAACGGGAAUUCGGGCGCCAUCUAGGUGUUGCUACUGCAAGAAUCUCCAGAAAGAAGAUAUUGAUCACCUAUUAUGCUCCGGAAAUCUGGACAAUUUUGUGUGGUCUAGUUGGUAUCCCCUACUCAAUCUCCCUGAGAAUUCUUCUCAAGAACUGGUGAAUCUGGAAAACAAAAGACCCUGUACUGGCAUUGAUCAUUAAAUAUUUACCCGCAGUAACUAUUUGGGAACUAUGGAAAAUAAGAUGUGGGGAAAAGUAUGGAAAAAAGAAGCAUUGCAUCAGAAAGUGCAUGACUCAGAUCUCUGUCACACUAACACAUUUAGUAAUGAGUCAAUAUGUGAACGUGGAGUUGAAACCUAAUUGGGAGUCAAUCAUCUAACUGAUGAGGAGUAACCUUUACAGCAAGAGAAGAAUAAUAGUUAGAUGGCUUUAACCCUCAACUAGUUUUGUAUAGCUCAAUUCUGAUGGAAGAUGCAAGAAUAAUUUAGGUGGAGGAGGAGGGGUUAUCAGAGAUAGUUGUAACACCCCUAAAACGUUGUAUGUGGUGUUUCAAUUCUCGAUAAAAAUGAUACUGCUUCUGUAUUUUAGGUAUAACAUUUCAUAAGAUGGUCCAAAUUAGGUUAUUCAAAUUUCUAAAUAUCUCCGACAUCAUUACCUACAACUUUCUUAAGGACCAUAUCUUAAUAUUCGGAGGCUAAGUAGGCCAAAUAAAUUAAUGUUUGCAAGACAUGGUGUUCUGAUGAAAUAGAGUAUUUGUAGAACAAAAUUCAGGAGAUCGCUUCAGUAAUGGUGCAAUGGCGGCA
This is a long non-coding RNA of Solanum dulcamara, 5487 nucleotides long. RefSeq lists it as uncharacterized. The record is from RefSeq and is a predicted model, not a curated record. NCBI's taxonomy places the organism in Eukaryota, Viridiplantae, Streptophyta, Magnoliopsida, Solanales, Solanaceae. The transcript has 3 exons.